UUAAUGAGAGUUUGAUCCUGGCUCAGGACGAACGCUGGCGGCGUGCCUAAUACAUGCAAGUAGAACGCUGAGGUUUGGUGUUUACACUAGACUGAUGAGUUGCGAACGGGUGAGUAACGCGUAGGUAACCUGCCUCAUAGCGGGGGAUAACUAUUGGAAACGAUAGCUAAUACCGCAUAAGAGUAAUUAACACAUGUUAGUUAUUUAAAAGGAGCAAUUGCUUCACUGUGAGAUGGACCUGCGUUGUAUUAGCUAGUUGGUGAGGUAAAGGCUCACCAAGGCGACGAUACAUAGCCGACCUGAGAGGGUGAUCGGCCACACUGGGACUGAGACACGGCCCAGACUCCUACGGGAGGCAGCAGUAGGGAAUCUUCGGCAAUGGACGGAAGUCUGACCGAGCAACGCCGCGUGAGUGAA
This 417-nucleotide ribosomal RNA is filed under the name Streptococcus agalactiae. RNAcentral describes it as "bacterial SSU rRNA". It matches the Rfam family "Bacterial small subunit ribosomal RNA", at positions 1 to 409 of the family's 1533-position model. Lineage: Bacteria; Bacillati; Bacillota; Bacilli; Lactobacillales; Streptococcaceae. The record is from RNAcentral.